AGUUUAGUCAAUGUUGCCCGUACCGUAAACCGACACAGGUGGGUGGGAUGAGUAUUCUAAGGCGCGUGGAAGAACUCUCUUUAAGGAACUCUGCAAAAUAGCACCGUAUCUUCGGUAUAAGGUGUGGUUCGCUUUGUAUUAGGCUUUACGCCGAAAGCAAAGAAACUUACAACAAAGAGUCCCUCCCGACUGUUUACCAAAAACACAGCACUCUGCUAACUCGUAAGAGGAUGUAUAGGGUGUGACGCCUGCCCGGUGCUCGAAGGUUAAUUGAUGGGGUUAGCAUUAGCGAAGCUCUUGAUCGAAGCCCGAGUAAACGGCGGCCGUAACUAUAACGGUCCUAAGGUAGCGAAAUUCCUUGUCGGUUAAAUACCGACCUGCAUGAAUGGCGUAACGAGAUGGGAGCUGUCUCAAAGAGGGAUCCAGUGAAAUUGUAGUGGAGGUGAAAAUUCCUCCUACCCGCGGCAAGACGGAAAGACCCCGUGGACCUUUACUACAGCUUGACACUGCUGCUUGGAUAAGAAUGUGCAGGAUAGGUGGGAGGCUUUGAGUAUAUGGCGCUAGCUGUAUAUGAGCCAUCGUUGAGAUACCACUCUUUCUUAUUUGGGUAGCUAACUAGCUUGCGUUAUCCGCAAGUAGGACAAUGUCUGGUGGGUAGUUUGACUGGGGCGGUCGCCUCCCAAAUAAUAACGGAGGCUUACAAAGGUUGGCUCAUUGCGGUUGGAAAUCGCAAGUAGAGUAUAAAGGUAUAAGCCAGCUUAACUGCAAGACGGACAAGUCGAGCAGAGACGAAAGUCGGUCUUAGUGAUCCGGUGGUUCUGUGUGGAAGGGCCAUCGCUCAAAGGAUAAAAGGUACCCCGGGGAUAACAGGCUGAUCUCCCCCAAGAGCUCACAUCGACGGGGAGGUUUGGCACCUCGAUGUCGGCUCAUCGCAUCCUGGGGCUGUAUUCGGUCCCAAGGGUUUGGCUGUUCGCCAAUUAAAGCGGUACGCGAGCUGGGUUCAGAACGUCGUGAGACAGUUCGGUCCCUAUCUGCCGUGGGCGCAAGAAGAUUGAAGAGAUUUGACCCUAGUACGAGAGGACCGGGUUGAACAAACCACUGGUGUAGCUGUUGUCCUGCCAAGGGCAUCGCAGCGUAGCUAAGUUUGGAAAGGAUAAACGCUGAAAGCAUCUAAGCGUGAAGCCAACUCUAAGAUGAAUCUUCUCUAAGCUCUGUGCUAGACUAGCACUUUGAUAGGCUGGGUGUGUAAGUGGUGAAAGCCAUUUAGCUGACCAGCACUAAUAGAGCGUUUGGCUUAUUUUA
RNAcentral lists this ribosomal RNA (1302 nucleotides) under human gut metagenome. Its description in RNAcentral is "bacterial LSU rRNA". It matches the Rfam family "Bacterial large subunit ribosomal RNA", at positions 1625 to 2925 of the family's 2925-position model. The record is from RNAcentral.